This 301-nucleotide ribosomal RNA is filed under the name uncultured bacterium. Its description in RNAcentral is "partial 16S ribosomal RNA". It matches the Rfam family "Bacterial small subunit ribosomal RNA", at positions 509 to 807 of the family's 1533-position model. The record is from RNAcentral.
CAGUCGCCACGGUAAUACGGAGGGAGCUAGCGCUGUUCGGAAUCACUGGGCGUAAAGCGCACGUAGGCGGCUAUUCAAGUCAGGGGUGAAAGCCCGGGGCUCAACCCCGGAACUGCCUUUGAAACUAGAUAGCUUGAAUCUUGGAGAGGCGAGUGGAAUUCCGAGUGUAGAGGUGAAAUUCGUAGAUAUUCGGAAGAACACCAGUGGCGAAGGCGACUCGCUGGACAAGUAUUGACGCUGAGGUGCGAAAGCGUGGGGAGCAAACAGGAUUAGAUACCCCGGUAGUCCCUGUCUCUUAUAC